AACGAACGCUGGCGGCAGGCUUAACACAUGCAAGUUGAACGAUGUAGCAAUACAUAGUGGCGCACGGGUGAGUAACGCGUGGGAACGUGCCCUUCAGUACGGGAUAACACCGGGAAACUGGUGCUAAUACCGUAUAUUCCCUCCGGGGAAAGAUUUAUCGCUGAAGGAUCGGCCCGCGUAAGAUUAGGUAGUUGGUGGGGUAAUGGCCUACCAAGCCUACGAUCUUUAGCUGGUCUGAGAGGAUGAUCAACCACACUGGAACUGAGACACGGUCCAGACUCCUACGGGAGGCAGCAGUGGGGGAAUAUUGGACAAUGGGCGAAAGCCUGAUCCAGCAAUGCCGCGUGAGUGAUGAAGGCCUUAGGGUUGUAAAGCUCUUUUACCCGACGUAUGAUAAUAGACAGUAU
Molecule: ribosomal RNA, 407 nt
Filed under: uncultured bacterium
Lineage: Bacteria
Description: bacterial SSU rRNA
Rfam family: Bacterial small subunit ribosomal RNA
Source: RNAcentral